GGCGACCGGCGCACGGGUGCGUACACGUUAGACACUACCUUUAACUGGGGAAUAGCCCUCCGAAAGGAAGAUUAAUACCCCAUAAUAUGUUGGAUGGGAUCAUUCGACAUUGAAAACUCCGGUGGAUAGAGAUGGGCACGCGCAAGAUUAGCUAAGUUGGCGGGGUAACGGGCCCAACAAGGGGACGAUCCGGGAAGGGGGUCCUUGAAAAGGAUUGGAAUCCCCCCAAACUGGUACUGAGACACGGACCAGACUCCUACGGGAGGCAGCAGUCAAGGAAUAUUGGACAAUGGUCGCAAGACUGGUCCAGCCAUGCCGGUGCAGGAUGAACGAUCUAUGAUCUGUAAACUGCUUUUGUCCGGGAAUAAACCCCUUCACGUCGUGGAGGGCUGAAUGUACCGAAAGAAUCACGGGUCCGGCUUCAACUCUCGUGCCNGCAAGCCGGCGGUUNNAAGACCGGAAAAGACCAAGCGUCCAAUCCCCGGAAUCUCAUCCGGGGUUCCACACGGGGCUCGCCNNACGGCCGGGCGCUUCCGGCACAACGUCCCCGCUGGNGGNUGCAACACGCCCCUAACGAANGCCCNCAACCCCCCUCCCAGG
Molecule: ribosomal RNA, 600 nt
Filed under: uncultured bacterium
Lineage: Bacteria
Description: bacterial SSU rRNA
Rfam family: Bacterial small subunit ribosomal RNA (bases 1-474)
Source: RNAcentral